This 301-nucleotide long non-coding RNA is filed under the name Hordeum vulgare. RNAcentral describes it as "long non-coding RNA (HVUL_LNC000986)". The record is from RNAcentral. Lineage: Eukaryota; Viridiplantae; Streptophyta; Magnoliopsida; Poales; Poaceae.
CCUGUUGACUGUACCUUGUUAUACUUGCUCUGACCGGACUCAUACUAGCAUUUAUUGCUACUCCCUGGCUACCAAUGCAUGUGCUCGCGCUGCAAUUUGGACAAGAAAAUCCCCGCUCUUUCGCUGGCCCGGAUGACAGUUGACAAGAGUAUUACUGGUAAUCAACAUCUCCUCAACUACCCAUUUCUCCACUAAGCAAGCCGGACACAGCGAGCGUGUGCUCAAGUCGGAGAGCUACGAUGUGGAGUCAUGGAUUGGUCUUGCCAGCGCCCGACGAGCGAGCACUCACGAAUUAUUCUCG